ACGUGUAGCGGUGAAAUGCGUAGAGAUGUGGAGGAAACACCAGUGGCGAAGGCGACUCUCUGGUCUGUAACUGACGCUGAGGAGCGAAAGCGUGGGGAGCGAACAGGAUUAGAUACCCUGGUAGUCCACGCCGUAAACGAUGAGUGCUAAGUGUUAGGGGGUUUCCGCCCCUUAGUGCUGCAGCUAACGCAUUAAGCACUCCGCCUGGGGAGUACGGUCGCAAGACUGAAACUCAAAGGAAUUGACGGGGGCCCGCACAAGCGGUGGAGCAUGUGGUUUAAUUCGAAGCAACGCGAAGAACCUUACCAGGUCUUGACAUCCUCUGACAACCCUAGAGAUAGGGCUUUCCCUUCGGGGACAGAGUGACAGGUGGUGCAUGGUUGUCGUCAGCUCGUGUCGUGAGAUGUUGGGUUAAGUCCCGCAACGAGCGCAACCCUUGAUCUUAGUUGCCAGCAUUCAGUUUGGCACUCUAAGGUGACUGCCGGUGACAAACCGGAGGAAGGUGGGGAUGACGUCAAAUCAUCAUGCCCCUUAUGACCUGGGCUACACACGUGCUACAAUGGACAGAACAAAGGGCUGCGAGACCGCAAGGUUUAGCCAAUCCCACAAAUCUGUUCUCAGUUCGGAUCGCAGUCUGCAACU
Molecule: ribosomal RNA, 642 nt
Filed under: Bacillus altitudinis
Lineage: Bacteria; Bacillati; Bacillota; Bacilli; Caryophanales; Bacillaceae
Description: bacterial SSU rRNA
Rfam family: Bacterial small subunit ribosomal RNA
Source: RNAcentral